GCCCCGAUGGCACAACUGGAUAGCGCAAUCCCCUCCUAAGGGAUAGGUUGUAGGUUCGAAUCCUGCUCGGGGCGCCA
This 77-nucleotide transfer RNA is filed under the name Gammaproteobacteria bacterium. RNAcentral describes it as "tRNA-Arg". It matches the Rfam family "tRNA". Rfam says of the family: Transfer RNA (tRNA) molecules are approximately 80 nucleotides in length. Their secondary structure includes four short double-helical elements and three loops (D, anti-codon, and T loops). Lineage: Bacteria; Pseudomonadati; Pseudomonadota; Gammaproteobacteria. The record is from RNAcentral.